CUCCUUCACUCCUCUUCUCUCUUUCUUCUCCUUUCUUUGAACAGCAAGCAAAACCCUAGCAAGCUUCUUCUCCUCCUUCUCCUACUGCCCAGCCGAAAGCACCUUCUUCCUUUCUUUCUUCUUGUUGCAGCAACAACAACCCAGCCGAGCUUCCUCUUCUCCUUCCCUUCAACCUUCUUGCUGCAGAAAUAAAACCCAGCCGAGACACCCAAGCUUAUCUCCUCUUUCUCUUGUUCUAGAUUUUAAAACCUGCAAAGACUAAGAACAAAAAACCAGCCAUAGAAAUACCAACGAAAAAUAAAAAACCAGCAAAGGAAAAAGAAUAAAAACACCACAACAAUUGAUUUCGGAGUUCCCUCUAAAUCAGAGGUACGUCUCCGUCAAGCGACCCUCAAAGUUGCUUGAAUCUCACUAUGAAUCUCAAAAAACCGGUUACAAGUUAUGGAGAUUCCAUGCCACAAAAGCUAGCAGGUUGAUUACAAAGGAAACACAAGGCUACUGCCUUUAUUUUUCUGCUGGGCCGAAAUGGUUCUCUUCUUUAAAUGAGAAGGUUGAACCUCAUAUUUAUAAUAUUGUUUGUUGCUGGCUGUGUUGUGUUUGAGCUGAGAAAUAGAUAUAUUCUGUUGUGAUAUUUUCCUUGUAAAGCUGAAAGUUUGUUAGAGUCUUGAGAUAUUUUGUUUGCUUCUUCAUAUUGUAAAGAGAAAUAAAGAUCUAGGCCUAUGACAACAGAACCGACAACUCUAUGAGUUAUAAUGGUCUGUUGAGGCUUUGUAAAUAGAUCUAAUUUAUUUUCCUUGUAACUUUAUUUAUGGGACAAUAGUAUGGGAAUUUAUCCAACAGAGAGGAACCCUUUUCUUUAAUUUUUGGUUGAAUUAAAACCAUGUAAUAAGAUGCAAAAGUUGAGAUUAGUUGUGUUGGAUCUCCAGCUUGGGAGAAAAGGUUUUGGCUCUAUUAUUAUUAUUACUAUUAUAUUAUUCAAAGGAUAAAGAGUAAGGAACUA
Long non-coding RNA from Cannabis sativa, 1000 nucleotides. RefSeq lists it as uncharacterized. NCBI's taxonomy places the organism in Eukaryota, Viridiplantae, Streptophyta, Magnoliopsida, Rosales, Cannabaceae. The transcript has 2 exons. The record is from RefSeq and is a predicted model, not a curated record.